RNAcentral lists this non-coding RNA (64 nucleotides) under unclassified sequences. RNAcentral's name for it is "L2-Alphaproteobacteria ribosomal protein leader". It matches the Rfam family "L2-Alphaproteobacteria ribosomal protein leader". The record is from RNAcentral.
GGGGACCUUCGGGGCCCUGUAACCUGGGUCGCUUGCGACCCACCUAGCUGACGGAAGACAGAGA